GGGCCGAUAGCUCAGUUGGUAGAGCACCUGCUUUGCAAGCAGGGGGUCAGGAGUUCGAGUCUCCUCCGGUCCACCA
Molecule: transfer RNA, 76 nt
Filed under: bacterium
Lineage: Bacteria
Description: tRNA-Ala
Rfam family: tRNA
About the family: Transfer RNA (tRNA) molecules are approximately 80 nucleotides in length. Their secondary structure includes four short double-helical elements and three loops (D, anti-codon, and T loops).
Source: RNAcentral